GCUAAACUCAAGCCUACUUGUAGGCUUGGUCUUGGGUGCUGUUCCCCCGGUGAACACGCCUCAAAUGCAAUGGCGACACUGCCUGGCUUCAAGCGUCUAGGAAACUUCACCGCUUUGGAUGCCUGGGACUGUCCGCCCCUCAACCCCAAUAUUUUUCUG
RNAcentral lists this unclassified non-coding RNA (159 nucleotides) under uncultured Ascomycota. Its description in RNAcentral is "sequence contains ITS2". Lineage: Eukaryota; Fungi; Ascomycota. The record is from RNAcentral.